GACCGUCGCAUGUCCGUUCGUCACCGUAAACUCCGUCACCUGAAGCCUCCGAUCUGCAACAAGUUGCGGUUCGACGACUUUGACAGCCUCCGCACAACCACCGGUCGCCGCAUACAUCCACCAUGAACCGGCUUUAAUUUGGAACCAUCAUACCCCGCUUUUCUGCCACCGCGAACUAGCUCGUCGUCGUCGCGAACCAGAUUCAGCCACCUCACGUGUUCGUGUAUCACCGCUCUUGUCUCAGCUCUAAUUUGCUUGGGUUCAACAACUAAGGUUCUUGAUUUUCGAGAUCGACUUGACUAAUUGGUCUUGCUUUGCUUGCUAAUAAGCGUCAGUACUGAUCUGUUUUGCUUCCGUAUGCCUGUAACAAAAUAUGAAAGCCAAAUAGAAGCCAGCUGGACAGCACUGAAGUCUUGGAAAAGUGGCAAUAAAGUUACCUAA
RNAcentral lists this long non-coding RNA (441 nucleotides) under Helianthus annuus (common sunflower). RNAcentral describes it as "sRNA HanXRQr2_Chr06g0246611". The record is from RNAcentral. Lineage: Eukaryota; Viridiplantae; Streptophyta; Magnoliopsida; Asterales; Asteraceae.